ACCUAGCUAACAAGUCUCAAAUAGGACGUAACACGUGUCCUGGAU
Non-coding RNA from Schistosoma curassoni, 45 nucleotides. NCBI's taxonomy places the organism in Eukaryota, Metazoa, Platyhelminthes, Trematoda, Strigeidida, Schistosomatidae. The record is from Rfam.